Molecule: non-coding RNA, 148 nt
Filed under: Homo sapiens (human)
Lineage: Eukaryota; Metazoa; Chordata; Mammalia; Primates; Hominidae
Source: Rfam by way of RNAcentral
GCCGGGCAUGGUGGCGCAUGCCUGUGAUCCCAGCUACUCGGGAGGCUGAGGCAAGAGAAUUGCUUGAACUCAGGAGGCACAGGUUGCAAUGAGCCGAGAUCAUGCCACUGCACUCCAGCCUGGGUAACAGAGCAAGACUCUGUCUCAA